GACGAACGCUGGCGGCGUGCCUAAUACAUGCAAGUAGAACGCUGAAGGAGGAGCUUGCUUCUCUGGAUGAGUUGCGAACGGGUGAGUAACGCGUAGGUAACCUGCCUGGUAGCGGGGGAUAACUAUUGGAAACGAUAGCUAAUACCGCAUAAUAGUAGAUGUUGCAUGACAUUUGCUUAAAAGGUGCAAUUGCAUCACUACCAGAUGGACCUGCGUUGUAUUAGCUAGUUGGUGAGGUAACGGCUCACCAAGGCAACGAUACAUAGCCGACCUGAGAGGGUGAUCGGCCACACUGGGACUGAGACACGGCCCAGACUCCUACGGGAGGCAGCAGUAGGGAAUCUUCGGCAAUGGACGGAGGUCUGACCGAGCAACGCCGCGUGAGUGAAGAAGGUUUUCGGAUCGUAAAGCUCUGUUGUAAGAGAAGAACGAGUGUGAGAGUGGAAAGUUCACACUGUGACGGUAUCUUACCAGAAAGGGACGGCUAACUACGUG
RNAcentral lists this ribosomal RNA (495 nucleotides) under uncultured bacterium. RNAcentral's name for it is "partial 16S ribosomal RNA". It matches the Rfam family "Bacterial small subunit ribosomal RNA", at positions 28 to 507 of the family's 1533-position model. The record is from RNAcentral.